UACGUAAGGAGCAAGCGUUGUCCGGAAUCACUGGGCGUAAAGGGUACGCAGGCGGUCUGGCAAGUCAGAGGUGAAAGCCACCGGCUUAACCGGUGAAGUGCCUUUGAAACUGUUAGACUUGAGGAUAGGAGAGGAAAGUGGAAUUCCCGGUGUAGUGGUGAAAUACGUAGAGAUCGGGAAGAAUACCAAUGGCGAAAGCAGCUUUCUGGCCUAUUCCUGACGCUGAGGUACGAAAGCCAGGGUAGCAAACGGG
RNAcentral lists this ribosomal RNA (253 nucleotides) under uncultured bacterium. RNAcentral's name for it is "partial 16S ribosomal RNA". It matches the Rfam family "Bacterial small subunit ribosomal RNA", at positions 524 to 776 of the family's 1533-position model. The record is from RNAcentral.